AACGAACGCUGGCGGCAGGCCUAACACAUGCAAGUCGGGCGCGCCCUUCGGGGUGAGCGGCGGACGGGUGAGUAACGCGUGGGAACGUGCCCUUUGCUACGGAAUAGUCUCGGGAAACUGGGGGUAAUACCGUAUGUGCCCUUCGGGGGAAAGGAUUUAUCGGCAAAGGAUCGGCCCGCGUUGGAUUAGGUAGUUGGUGGGGUAAUGGCUCACCAAGGCGACGAUCCCUAGCUGGUCUGAGAGGAUGAUCAGCCACACUGGAACUGAGACACGGUCCAGACUCCUACGGGAGGCAGCAGUGGGGAAUAUUGCGCAAUGGGGGAAACCCUGAUGCAGCCAUGCCGCGUGUGUGAAGAAGGCCUGGUUGUAAGACACUUCUAGCGAGGAGG
This 389-nucleotide ribosomal RNA is filed under the name uncultured bacterium. RNAcentral's name for it is "bacterial SSU rRNA". It matches the Rfam family "Bacterial small subunit ribosomal RNA", at positions 28 to 447 of the family's 1533-position model. The record is from RNAcentral.